GACAGAGGGUGCAACCGUUGUUCGGAAUUACUGGGCGUAAAGCGUGUGUAGGCGGCCAGGCAAGUCGGGUGUGAAAGCCCCGGGCUCAACCCGGGAAGUGCACUCGAUACUGCUUGGCUCGAGUAUCGGAGAGGUUGGUGGAAUUCUCGGUGUAGAGGUGAAAUUCGUAGAUAUCGAGAGGAACACCGGUGGCGAAGGCGGCCAACUGGACGAAUACUGACGCUGAGACACGAAAGCGUGGGGAGCAAACAGG
Molecule: ribosomal RNA, 253 nt
Filed under: uncultured bacterium
Lineage: Bacteria
Description: partial 16S ribosomal RNA
Rfam family: Bacterial small subunit ribosomal RNA
Source: RNAcentral